Carassius carassius (crucian carp) is the source of this 1100-nucleotide long non-coding RNA. RefSeq lists it as uncharacterized. The record is from RefSeq and is a predicted model, not a curated record. The transcript is spliced from 3 exons. NCBI's taxonomy places the organism in Eukaryota, Metazoa, Chordata, Actinopteri, Cypriniformes, Cyprinidae.
CCAUGUAUCUGUCUGUCUAAAUCAGUUUACUGCAGUAAAUAUGGGUGCAGAGUAUAAAAAAUACAGAAUUAGUUUUCUCUCUUGUUUAGACACUGGUACUGAAUGCUUUGGCCUUCAGAAACAAGUAUACAACUCAUCCAUAUUUGCCUGAGGAACUCAUAACUGUGAAAUUCAGCAAGGUUAGACUGUCAUAAAGCUGUAGUAAGCUAUUAACCAGUGCCAUAACUGACUUGGAGUGGCCUGAGUCUGACUCCUGAAGGGAGAGAUCACAGUCUGCUCUGUAGAUGGACAUGCCAAACUCGAGCUUUCAUCUUCUGGAGAAGACUUCACAGUGGACUUUAUCUAUCAGUCUAGCCAAAAUGAAGUCACAGUAUCUGCAAGGUCACCAUGAAUCUCAUUAUGUCUAGAACAAGUCAUAUUUUGUAACCCCCAUAUAUAUUCUCCCACAAAAAAUGUAUUAUAUGUAUUUUUAUUAAUGUAUUUAUUUUGUAGUGAAAUUUGACCUGGCUUUAGCGAGAUUCAAUGCUCAUGUUUCAUAUAUUGUAUUGUCAUAGAAAAACUACAAUUACAAUAAGUAUUUGAUGGUGUUAGUGUGUUGUCCACACUCAUAGUAUGCUUAUUUCAAUGUGAUUUUAAGGUGGCAAUAUGAUGGUGUGAAUCCUGACUUGCUGGAACAGGAAGAGGAGUCACAGCUGAGCUGGUGAAAGUGAUCUGAUGCAAAAGACAUCAUACCGGUUCUCUUCCAGUUUCUACCAUCAGGAAGACGGUACCAGGGCAUCAGAGCCCGCUCCGCCAGACUGCUCAAUAGCUUUUUCACCCAGUACAGGCUGUGAGAGUCCUGAACUCAUAUCAACCUCGACCUCCUCUGAAACCCCACACAAACUCCCUACCUCCUGAAACAUGGACCAUCUCACCUCCUCCACCCCCCAACCUUACCACAUCACAGAAAAACUCUGAAACACUCUUUUUUUGUAUGCAAUUUGAAGUGGGCUACACACAGGUGAGUGGGCCUGUACAAACCACCUGUAGUAACACACUCUCUUCUAUGCACACCAGACACUUUUCACACACACUGCUGUGUACAUAAUCCCAAAAAAGAC